GUAGGUGGCAAGCGUUGUCCGGGAAUUAUUGGGCGUAAAGCGCGCGCAGGCGGUUCGUUUAAGUCUGAUGUGAAAGCCCACGGGCUCAACCGUGGAGGGUCAUUGGAAACUGGAGAACUUGAGUACAGAAGAGGAAAGCGGAAUUCCACGUGUAGCGGUGAAAUGCGUAGAGAUGUGGAGGAACACCAGUGGCGAAGGCGGCUUUCUGGUCUGUAACUGACGCUGAGGCGCGAAAGCGUGGGGAGCAAACAGGAUUAGAUACCCUGGUAGUCCACGCCGUAAACGAUGAGUGCUAAGUGUUAGGGGGGUUUCCGCCCCUUACGUGCUGCAGCUAACGCAUUAAGCACUCCGCCUGGGGAGUACGGCCGCAAAGGCUG
Molecule: ribosomal RNA, 377 nt
Filed under: uncultured organism
Description: partial 16S ribosomal RNA
Rfam family: Bacterial small subunit ribosomal RNA
Source: RNAcentral